Molecule: non-coding RNA, 81 nt
Organism: Potamilus streckersoni
Lineage: Eukaryota; Metazoa; Mollusca; Bivalvia; Unionida; Unionidae
Source: the annotation of a GenBank genome assembly
UGCAGUAGCUCAGCUGGUAGAGCACUGGACCCAUGAUCAAAAGGUUAUUGGUUCAAUGCACACCUAGUCCAGCCUGAUCAG